This 480-nucleotide ribosomal RNA is filed under the name uncultured bacterium. Its description in RNAcentral is "partial 16S ribosomal RNA". It matches the Rfam family "Bacterial small subunit ribosomal RNA", at positions 28 to 523 of the family's 1533-position model. The record is from RNAcentral.
GACGAACGCUGGCGGCGUGCUUAACACAUGCAAGUCGAACGGAAAGGCCCUUUCGGGGGUACUCGAGUGGCGAACGGGUGAGUAACACGUGGGUGAUCUGCCCUGCACUUUGGGAUAAGCCUGGGAAACUGGGUCUAAUACCGGAUAGGACUACGCGAUGCAUGUCGUGUGGUGGAAAGCUUUUGCGGUGUGGGAUGGGCCCGCGGCCUAUCAGCUUGUUGGUGGGGUGAUGGCCUACCAAGGCGACGACGGGUAGCCGGCCUGAGAGGGUGUCCGGCCACACUGGGACUGAGAUACGGCCCAGACUCCUACGGGAGGCAGCAGUGGGGAAUAUUGCACAAUGGGCGCAAGCCUGAUGCAGCGACGCCGCGUGAGGGAUGACGGCCUUCGGGUUGUAAACCUCUUUCAAUAGGGACGAAGCGCAAGUGACGGUACCUAUAGAAGAAGCACCGGCCAACUACGUGCCAGCCGCCGCCGUAA